AUUGAACGCUGGCGGCAUGCCUUACACAUGCAAGUCGAACGGCAGCACGGGAGCAAUCCUGGUGGCGAGUGGCGAACGGGUGAGUAAUACAUCGGAACGUGCCCAGUAGUGGGGGAUAACCCGGCGAAAGCCGGACUAAUACCGCAUACGACCUACUGGUGAAAACGGGGGAUCGCAAGACCUCGCGCUAUCGGAGCGGCCGAUGUCAGAUUAGCUAGUUGGUGGGGUAAAGGCCUACCAAGGCGACGAUCUGUAGCUGGUCUGAGAGGACGACCAGCCACACUGGGAAUGAGACACGGCCCAGACUACUAAGGGAGGCAGCAGUGGGGAAUUUUGGACAAUGGGCCCAAGCCUGAUCCAGCCAUGCCGCGUGCGGGAAGAAGGCCUUCGGGUUGUAAACCGCUUUUGUCAGGGAAGAAACGCUCCGGGCUAAUACCACGGAGUAAUGACGGUACCUGAAGAAUAAGCACCGGCUAACUACGUG
This 484-nucleotide ribosomal RNA is filed under the name uncultured bacterium. Its description in RNAcentral is "partial 16S ribosomal RNA". It matches the Rfam family "Bacterial small subunit ribosomal RNA", at positions 29 to 507 of the family's 1533-position model. The record is from RNAcentral.